Molecule: ribosomal RNA, 1536 nt
Filed under: uncultured bacterium
Lineage: Bacteria
Description: 16S ribosomal RNA
Rfam family: Bacterial small subunit ribosomal RNA
Source: RNAcentral
AGUUUGAUCAUGGCUCAGGACGAACGCUGGCGGCAUGCCUAACACAUGCAAGUCGAACGGAGUUAUUAUUCAGAAGUUCUACGGGAUGGAAGGAUAAGAACUUAGUGGCGGACGGGUGAGUAACGCGUGGGUAACCUGCCCUUUUGUGGGGAACAACUUCGAGAAAUCGGAGCUAAUACCGCAUAAUAAUAGAGGAUCGCAUGAUUCUUUAAGGAAAGAUGGCCUCUGAAGAUGCUAUCGCAAAAGGAUGGACCCGCGUCUGAUUAGCUAGUUGGAAGGGUAACGGCCUACCAAGGCAACGAUCAGUAGCCGGCCUGAGAGGGUGAACGGCCACAUUGGGACUGAGACACGGCCCAAACCCCUACGGGAGGCAGCAGUGGGGAAUCUUCCGCAAUGGGCGAAAGCCUGACGGAGCAAUGCCGCGUGAGUGAAGAAGGCCUUCGGGUUGUAAAACUCUGUCCUUAUCGAAGAGAGGUAGGUAUGUGAAUAAUGUACCUAUAGGACGGUAGAUAAGGAGGAAGCCCCGGCUAACUACGUGCCAGCAGCCGCGGUAAUACGUAGGGGGCGAGCGUUGUCCGGAAUCACUGGGCGUAAAGGGCGCGUAGGCGGUUUAAUAAGUCAGUGGUGAAAACUGAGGGCUCAACCCUCAGCCUGCCACUGAUACUGUUAGACUUGAGUAUGGAAGAGGAGAAUGGAAUUCCUAGUGUAGCGGUGAAAUGCGUAGAUAUUAGGAGGAACACCAGUGGCGAAGGCGAUUCUCUGGGCCAAGACUGACGCUGAGGCGCGAAAGCGUGGGGAGCAAACAGGAUUAGAUACCCUGGUAGUCCACGCCGUAAACGAUGGAUACUAGGUGUUAGUAGUUUCGAUGCUACUAGUGCCGGAGUAAACACAAUAAGUAUCCCGCCUGGGGAGUACGGUCGCAAGACUGAAACUCAAAGGAAUUGACGGGGGCCCGCACAAGCGGUGGAGCAUGUGGUUUAAUUCGACGCAACGCGAAGAACCUUACCAAGACUUGACAUCCUCCUGACAGGAUAUGUAAUGUAUCUCUUUUCUUCGGAGACAGGAGAGACAGGUGGUGCAUGGUUGUCGUCAGCUCGUGUCGUGAGAUGUUGGGUUAAGUCCCGCAACGAGCGCAACCCUUAUUUCUAGUUGCCAGCAGUAAGAUGGGGACUCUAGAGAGACUGCCAGUGACAAACUGGAGGAAGGUGGGGAUGGCGUCAAAUCAUCAUGCCCCUUAUGUCUUGGGCUACACACGUGCUACAAUGGUCAGAACAGAGGGAAGCGAAGCCGCGAGGUGGAGCAAAUCCCAGAAAACUGAUCUCAGUUCGGAUUGCAGGCUGCAACCCGCCUGCAUGAAGUCGGAAUCGCUAGUAAUCGCGGGUCAGCAUACCGCGGUGAAUACGUUCCCGGGCCUUGUACACACCGCCCGUCACACCACGAAAGUCAGUAACACCCGAAGCCGGUGGCCUAACCCGCAAGGGAGGGAGCUGUCGAAGGUGGGACUGAUGAUUGGGGUGAAGUCGUAACAAGGUACCC